Tympanuchus pallidicinctus (lesser prairie-chicken) is the source of this 411-nucleotide long non-coding RNA. RefSeq lists it as uncharacterized. NCBI's taxonomy places the organism in Eukaryota, Metazoa, Chordata, Aves, Galliformes, Phasianidae. The record is from RefSeq and is a predicted model, not a curated record. The transcript has 4 exons.
GCUGGCGGCUUACAGCAAGCGGUGCUGGAGUGUAAAGCCUCCUGCUUCUUGUUUUUAAACACGGAACGGGUGUGUCUGCAGGGUUAAUGUUUUCUGGCACCACACAGGGAGGCUAAGACUGGCCAGCUGAAAUAAAGAUACUUGAGGGCUUCAUCCACGUAGGACAGCUUCCCUUUGUGUUUAGUCCAUACUUUAAGAAAAUUCUGAUGAUCACCAUCAUCCCAACCUCCUUGCCUUCCCCCUGUUUGCUGCAGAAAUCUUUCAAACUCUACAACUUCUGCAGAUUCCUGGAAGAGCAAACAAACCACAGAAGCAUCCGAAGACUGUAAGAGAAUCAUAAGCAAUAUUCAAAGGAACCUCUCUAUGAAGGAAAAUGUUUUAAAAUCUGUUUGCAUAACUUACAUUCUGAUG